GAACAAGUGAGUGUGAUUGUGUGAACAGAUUCAACAAUGGACACAGCAGGGAACACUAUAUAAUAUACUUAGGGCAAACCAUUAACAUAUAACGUUGCAAAUAUACUAUACUUUAUGCCAUUACAAUACUUAUAAUAGCCCUGAGCAAAUUCAAAAUUGGUUUAGAUCAAUGGUCAUACCAUGGUUGGCUGUGCAGCGUUUGGAUGCUCCAAUCGGUCCGAGAAGGGUUACCACAUGUAUGGCUUCCCCAAGGACCAAGAGCGCAGGAAGAAAUGGAUGGCAAUGGUCAGCCGUCAAAACGUACAAGUGACAGGGGUCAGCAACCGUCAAAAACUAUGUAAUGUACACUUUGAAGAUGACCAAUUCACUGCCACAAAAAGAGAAGGGAUGUUGAAGCUGAGGCCCGAUGCAGUACCAACAGUUUUCAUUCAUCGCCCUAAGCCGAAGAGGAGGAAACCCCCUUCUGUGAGGGUGCCUCCAGAACCAAGUGCAACGGACCACACAUAUUUCACCAAAUUAAACUUCGCUAUGAUCCAUGCAGCUAACAAUAUUCCCCAUUUCAUGUAAUUCAAGGAUAGACUACACUCCUAAUGAGAUUACAUAAUUCAUGGCCAGCUGAUUCAGGGCCAGCUGCCCCAGGGCCAGCUGCUCCAGGGACCAGACUGCCAGGGACUGAUGGGGCGACUGUGGAGGACCUAAUAAG
Long non-coding RNA from Gadus macrocephalus (Pacific cod), 703 nucleotides. RefSeq lists it as uncharacterized. NCBI's taxonomy places the organism in Eukaryota, Metazoa, Chordata, Actinopteri, Gadiformes, Gadidae. The transcript is spliced from 3 exons. The record is from RefSeq and is a predicted model, not a curated record.